GACGAACGCUGGCGGCGUGCUUAACACAUGCAAGUCGAACGGAAAGGCCCUGCUUUUGUUGGGUACUCGAGGGGCGAACGGGUGAGUAACAGGAGGGUAACCUGAGCUUGACACUGGGAUAACAUCAGGAAACUGGUGCCAAUACCGGAUAGGAGCUCCUGCUGCAUGGGGGGGGUUGGAAAGAUUCGGCGGGUGGGGAUGGACUCGCGGCUUAUCAGCUUGUUGGUGGGGUAGUGGCUUAACAAGGCGUAGACGGGUAGCCGGGCUGAGAGGGUGGCCGGCCACAUAGGGACUGAGGACCGGCCCCGAACACUUAGGGGGGGCGGAGGGGGAGAUCUUGCACCAAGGGGGGAAGGCUGAUGCAGCAACCCCGGGUGCGGGAUAGCGGCUUUUGGGUUGUAAACCGGUUUCGACUGUGACGAAGCGUGAGUGACGGUAAUCGAUAAAGAAGCCCCGGCUAACUACGUG
Molecule: ribosomal RNA, 468 nt
Filed under: uncultured bacterium
Lineage: Bacteria
Description: partial 16S ribosomal RNA
Rfam family: Bacterial small subunit ribosomal RNA
Source: RNAcentral